CUUAUAUUUCUUUCUUUCCAGGCAUGCCAAAUGAUAUGUGCUUCACAUGCAAAAUGGUCGGACACUGGUCCAGAGACUGUCCUUUCAACGUCGGACUCGCGCCCUCUUCCCGAGUCAAACCAAGAGCCCAAGCGGCUAUGCCGGUCGGAUAUCACACUUUCCACUCACGAAAUGCACUCAUCCCCUGGCAAGCUCCACAGCUACCCCGAGCCAUCACAGCAUUCCCCUCGUCUGCCAUCGGACAAGCCUCCACUAGCGCAGCAACCCCAUCCGGAGCCUCAGUUGGCAACCCUACAGCCUAAUACGCAGGCUUCACCACAAGUGUUCAAUCUCUCUCGCAAAUUUAGCGACGUUAUAGAGGUUAUUUCCGGCCAGCAAUUCUGGUCAGAAUUUCCCGCCAGUCUUCAAGCAUAUCGAGAUCGCAUAUUUCAUGAUGUUUUAAAGGCCAAAGCAGAAGGUACCACGCAAUCUUACCUGUAAAAGUGCAGAGUGUUUUUCGCCUGGCUGAGAAAGCAUAACAUUCCACUCCAAUUUCCAGUUACCGAUACAAUUAUUGCAUCCUUUUUGUCUGAUAGAGGUCAAUUCGUCAAUUCAGAUAGCUCCAUAAUAACACUAGCAUCUGCCAUCAAAUGGCUGCAUUCCUUACUCAAUAUUCGUCCGAAUCCCGUGGAUUCGCCAGUAGUGCAACAGGUAUUUACUAGUUUACGGAGAACUUUGCAUCAUCCUCCACAACAGAAAGAACCAUUGUCAAUUCAGCAAGUACAUGAUAUUAUUGAUCAUUUUGGCAAUCAGAAUUGUAGUUUGCUGCAGUUGCGAACCGCUUGUUACGUAUCAUUAAAGUUUUCGCUUCUCUUCAGGCACGACGAGAUGGUACAGUUAAAGGCAAGCCACAUUACUGAGCUGCCUGGUCAACUUAGAUUGCGUAUUCACAUUCCCAGAUCAAAAACAGACGUUUAUCGUGAAGGUAAUUUCACCUUCUUAUCUCAAAUUGAUAGUCAGUAUUGCCCAGCAAAGAUACUCAGACGAUAUUUGACACAAUGUAACAUUCAGAUAGGAGAUGAUGUUUAUAUAUUCACAGCCUUGUCUUUUCUAUCCAGUUCGAAUUCGUAUAGACCAUUACAAAACAAGCCCCUGAGUUAUUCUAGGUGCCGAGAGCUCUUUUUAGAAGCACUAAAGCAAGUUGGCGUAGAAAACCCUAAAAAAUACGGCCUACAUAGCAUGCGUUCAGGAGGGGCCUCUCAUUUGGCAAAUAAGGAUAUAUCUGAAGAGCUUAUCAUGGAGCAUGGGCGAUGGAAAACGCCUCAAGCCAAAACCAGAUACAUUAAACGAGACAUAGAUCGUCGUCUCAGUCUUACAGUUACGUUAAGUAAACAGUAAUUAAAAUUGGAUAACCAAUUUUCUAGGGUCUUCUCCUUAAUUUUGUAUAAACAUCAACUUGAUCUAAUGCGAGUUUUCAUGUAGUAUAAUUAUAUAUGUAUCUUCAGAUACCGGACAAAUAAUCCGAGGAGCUGAGAUUAUUGAUGUGUUAUAUAAAACAUUUCACGCAACUGUAAAGAUGGAAUAUUUUGUUUAGUUUUGAUUAUAGACAGUAGUAGAUUCCGGACAGAUAAUCCGAAGAGCCAAAAGGGCUGAGGCUCCAAGGUGGAGCUGGGAUUAAUUGAUGUAUUAUAUAAAUUUCAUUCUAAAUUGACGAUGUAAUAUAUUUAAGAAAUUGUUUUGUUUUUGGUUAAAAAAAAAAAAAAAAAAAAAAAUAUUCCGGACAGAUAAUCCGAAGAGCCAAAAGGGCUGAGGCUCCAAAGUGGAGCCGAGAUUGUUUUUGAUGUUUAAAUUACAUCGUAUUGUGAAGACGAAAAUGAAAUGAUGAUGCUAUUUUAUGUAACGAUUCGUAUAUUUUGUGACGCGUAAAGAAUAAUUACCACAUGCAAAACACCUGAUAUAUAUGUUUUUUCCCUCAAUAUUUUUCCCUGUAAGUAUUCAGCAACUGACACUAGGCACGCCCCAUGCUUUACAAUAAAAUAUCUGAAUUGA
This 2028-nucleotide long non-coding RNA is filed under the name Patiria miniata (bat star). RNAcentral describes it as "uncharacterized LOC119718918". The record is from RNAcentral. Lineage: Eukaryota; Metazoa; Echinodermata; Asteroidea; Valvatida; Asterinidae.